UUAAGUAGACCGCCUGGGGAGUACGGCCGCAAGGUUAAAACUCAAAUGAAUUGACGGGGGCCCGCACAAGCGGUGGAGCAUGUGGUUUAAUUCGAUGCAACGCGAAGAACCUUACCUGGUCUUGACAUCCACAGAAGAAUCCAGAGAUGGAUUUGUGCCUUCGGGAACUGUGAGACAGGUGCUGCAUGGCUGUCGUCAGCUCGUGUUGUGAAAUGUUGGGUUAAGUCCCGCAACGAGCGCAAC
RNAcentral lists this ribosomal RNA (243 nucleotides) under Salmonella enterica subsp. enterica serovar Infantis. Its description in RNAcentral is "partial 16S ribosomal RNA". It matches the Rfam family "Bacterial small subunit ribosomal RNA", at positions 860 to 1102 of the family's 1533-position model. The record is from RNAcentral. Lineage: Bacteria; Pseudomonadati; Pseudomonadota; Gammaproteobacteria; Enterobacterales; Enterobacteriaceae.